This 403-nucleotide ribosomal RNA is filed under the name bacterium. RNAcentral describes it as "partial 16S ribosomal RNA". It matches the Rfam family "Bacterial small subunit ribosomal RNA", at positions 355 to 776 of the family's 1533-position model. The record is from RNAcentral.
UGGGGAAUAUUGCACAAUGGGGGAAACCCUGAUGCAGCGACGCCGCGUGAACGAAGAAGGUAUUCGUAUCGUAAAGUUCUGUCCUAUGGGAAGAUAAUGACAGUACCAUAGAAGAAAGCUCCGGCUAAAUACGUGCCAGCAGCCGCGGUAAUACGUAUGGAGCGAGCGUUGUCCGGAAUUAUUGGGCGUAAAGGGUACGCAGGCGGUUUAAUAAGUCGAAUGUUAAAGAUCGGGGGUCAACCCCGCAAAGCAUUGGAAACUGAUAAACUUGAGUAGUGGAGAGGAAAGUGGAAUUCCUAGUGUAGUGGUGAAAUACGUAGAUAUUAGGAGGAAUACCAGUAGCGAAGGCGACUUUCUGGACACAAACUGACGCUGAGGUACGAAAGCGUGAGGAGCAAGCAGG